RNAcentral lists this long non-coding RNA (2380 nucleotides) under Eutrema salsugineum. RNAcentral describes it as "long non-coding RNA (ESAL_LNC001385)". The record is from RNAcentral. Lineage: Eukaryota; Viridiplantae; Streptophyta; Magnoliopsida; Brassicales; Brassicaceae.
AUUUUCAAAAUAAAUUCGAUUCCAAAAAUCACAAACACACCGAACCUUGUAUGCGUCUGCGACGAUGACCUCGCCGUGGAGUCCGAAAGCGAUUCCGAGCGGUCUACCGCCGGUGUUGACCCAAUCCUCAACGACCGAGUCAUUAGCUGAGUCGAGGACCUUGACUCGUUUCACCCAUCCAUCUACACAGCCUGUAUAGAUGAGGCCUGAGUCUCUGUGGUAGGCUAUAUCCUCUGGAUUAUUGAGAAGACCAGCACCGAUAAACUCGGCUCCGGUGAGUAAUCCGUCGUUGAGAAGCGGCGGGAUGGAAUUAGUGGAGUAGGCUAAUGCUUCAGCGGGAAGGGGAGCUGGGUCAAAGGUGUCGAGUCGGUAGAGAGCGAUAGAAGCUAGGAAUGGGAUGAUGGUGGAGAAGAAGAGAAAACGUGGGGAGAAGAAGAAUAUAGCCAUUGGAGAAAGGAUUGGCUUUGUGGAGAAUAGUGAGCAGCACCAAAAAUUUUGAGUGAUAGUAGAGAAACACGUUUUGAUUGAUGUUGCAAUCGCAGAUACCAAUCGAUGACUCGAGGAAUCUUUGAAUCCAUUUGCUCCGUGGUACGUAACGUAUUCAUUCACUGGUCCUAUGUUUUGGGCUUUACCAGCAGACCCGAUAUGUUAAUGAUUUGGGCCUGCAACAUCAGGCUCUGUUUCCAAUCACUACAUACAGAGAAGAAGAAGAAACAUACAUAUGAUCAAUUGGGUUUUGAGUGCAAUGAUUUAUGUUACAACUGUACUAGUGUGGUCCUUGUCAUUUUGUAAGCAGGUUUAUAUGCUUAUCAUUUUCUAUGUAAGAAUGUGUCUAACUUACACCUAGUAUAUUUUCAAAUCAAUAUUUCAUGCUACUAAAAAACAAAAUGUCCUAAUAUUCAGAAAGAUCCUAUGAUCAUCAUCAUUCUCAGGGGCGAUGAGUUUACAUGUAUGGCAGAGAAAAGAUGGUAAAUAUAAUAGUUCAAAGCCUCUUCUAUCGUGCAGGAUAUUUGAGGAGAUCGAGUCGGAUAAUGUGGGAAUGCAAGAGAGUCCCACAAUAGAGAUAUUUCCCAAUCUUGACUCCGCUGGUUAUGUGAGAUAUUUUAUGAUCAUGGUACAAUGCGAUGGGCUUCCCAUACAAAUCAACCUGCAAAACGCCAGCAUUUUCCAUAAACAUGGGUUCGAAGCCGUACUUAGCCGCCAUGCCUGUGAGUUUCCUCACGAAAGGGUACUGCAUCGAGACCUUCCACAACGUUGUUGCUGCCUGUUUUGCAAAACAGUUAGCCAAAAAAAGAUGGUAAUCAAAGCUCAAUCAUAAAGUUAAAAGAUUUCAAUUUGUCAAAAAAAAUACCGAAGGCAUUGCAAUCCAGUAAUGUCCAUCUCCAUCGUACCGGAUGUUAUCUGGAUAACCGGGUAAGUCUUGAAUGAAUAACUCAACACGCUCCUCGUUGAUGUAAUACUUGCUGCAUCUUCUUCUGAGAAGAACAAGAAAACAACUUGAGAUGAUGAUGAUUCAAUUCACUGCACAGAGGUGAAAUUACAUAGAGAAAGAGAAAGAGAAAUUACACAGGGGUUUCGCAGAAGACGAAAUGGGUUUGAUCGGGAGACAUAGAGACGCCAUUAGCGAAGUAGAGGUCUCUAAGGAGGACACGUGUGGUUCUUGUGGUGGGGUCAAAGCUCAAGAGCCGGCCAUGUGGUUUGCCUUCCAAAAUAUCAAAGGCGAAUUGAUGGAGAUUGUAUUUGUAAGAACCAUCUGUGAAAUACAUAACGCCGUUAUCUCCAACGGCGACUGCAUCCGUGAUCUUAAAUCUCACUCCUUCCGCUUCAUCCGUCAAUAAUUCCGUCUUCUUCCCGUCAUUGCUUAUAUUCAACAGUCCCUAAAUACACACACACACACACACAAAUCAUCUCGUGAUUCUGAGUUUUUUCAAAACCCAGAUUCUCAAAAUCACGCACCAAACCUUGUAUGCGUCUGCGACGAUGACUUCGCCGUGGAGUCCGAAAGCGAUUCCGAGCGGUCUACCGCCGGUAUUGACCCAAUCCUCUACGACCGAGUCAUUAGCUGAGUCGAGGACCUUGACUCGUUUCACCCAUCCAUCUACACAGCCUGUAUAGAUGAGACCUGAGUCUCGGUGAUAAGCGAUAUCCUCGGGGCUAUUGAGAAGAGCGACGCCGAUAAACUCGGCUCCGGUGAGUAAUUGGUCGUUGAGAAGCGGCGGGGUGGAGUUAGUGGAGUAGACUAAUGCAUCGGCAGGAAGCGGAGCUGGGUCAAAGGUGUCGAGUCGGUAGAGAGCGAUAGAGACGAGGAAGGGGAUGAUGGUGGAGAAGAAGAGGAAACGUGGGGAGAAGAAGAACAGAGCCAUUUGAGAAAGGAUUGGGU